Molecule: long non-coding RNA, 911 nt
Filed under: Macaca mulatta (Rhesus monkey)
Lineage: Eukaryota; Metazoa; Chordata; Mammalia; Primates; Cercopithecidae
Description: lncRNA (ENSMMUG00000051963.1)
Source: RNAcentral
CAACUUAAUAGCUUGAAGUUCUUAGGGUCCAUUUUUUUUUCUUUUCUUUGAGCACUGAACCCAUCCAUUUUCUCAGAGGGAAGCUCAUCUCUUCUGUGCAUUGUCCAUCAGUCUGCUGUUAGUCCAGUUGCACAGCCAGGUGGCUUUGCAGAAAUCCCUGGAGCAGGUGGCUGUGUCAUCCAAGUUUCUCCCACGGUGCAGGAAGAAGAAUGAGGGCAAACCGAAAAAUAAUUGUUUCUUUUUGAAAAAUGUCCUACUUUUAUUUUAAGUUCAAGAGUACAUGUGCAGGAUGUGUAGGUUUGUCACAUAGGGUGUGAAGGGGACAUCUGCCAGCAAGCGACAUCAUAAUGGAAAAGAGAGAUAUGGCCAGAGUCCAGAAAAGUUGAGCUUCAAUGAUAGAAAGAGUUUGAAUACACGCCAAAUUUAGGUAAUCCGCUUACUAAAUCAGGACUGGCUCUUUGAAAUGUUACUCAAAAUCUCUGUUUAAAAAAACAUGGGGCACUUCAAAAGUAGUUCUGCCACGGUAUGUGAAAAAGAGGUCAUGGUUUGUAGCUUAAAAUUUCAAAUAUUGUAAGUUUCACUUCAGAGAAUUAACGUAGUAUAUAUGCAGCAAAAAUGACUUUUCUUAACACAUCAAGCAGAGCCUUAGAAACCUCCCACCCAACUGAGUUCAUUCAUUCUCUAGGGGAAAAAUUUAUUUUGCAAAGGACAGUUUAAUCCAUGAAACUGGCUGUUAAGGUCCCUGUUAGGGGAUCAGAUUUUCUACUUAAUUUGACUAUACGAUUGAAUAUGUUUUGCAUCAUUUGGCAAAUUUCCCUGUAGAAGUUUUCAGUUUUUUCCUUUUGUUAACUGAAAACGAGGAGGUAUACAUGAGAACAUCAUGAAAGAAAAUGCAUUGUUUUCAGUAUUCG